RNAcentral lists this ribosomal RNA (465 nucleotides) under uncultured bacterium. RNAcentral's name for it is "partial 16S ribosomal RNA". It matches the Rfam family "Bacterial small subunit ribosomal RNA", at positions 28 to 507 of the family's 1533-position model. The record is from RNAcentral.
GACGAACGCUGGCGGCGUGCUUAACACAUGCAAGUCGAACGGAAAGGCCCUGCUUGCAGGGGACUCGAGUGGCGAACGGGUGAGCAACACGUGGGUGAUCUGCCCUGCACUUCGGGAUAAGCCUGGGAAACUGGGUCUAAUACCGGAGAGGAGCCAUUUUUAGUGUGAUGGUUGGAAAGUUUUUUCGGUGUAGGAUGAGCGCGCGGCCUAUCAGGUUGUUGGUGGGGGAAUGGCCUACCAAGGCGGCGACGGGUAGCCGGCCUGAGAGGGUGGACGGCCAAAUUUGGACUGGGAUACCGCCCCGACUCCUACGGGGAGGAGCAGUGGGGAAUAUUGCACAAUGGGCGCAAGCCUGAUGCAGCGACGCCGCGGGGGGGAUGACGGCCUUCGGGUUGUAAACUCCUUUCGCUAGGGACGAAGCUGUUUGUGACGGUACCUAGAAAAGAAGCACCGGCUAACUACGUG